Molecule: ribosomal RNA, 372 nt
Filed under: uncultured bacterium
Lineage: Bacteria
Description: bacterial SSU rRNA
Rfam family: Bacterial small subunit ribosomal RNA
Source: RNAcentral
UACGGAGGAUGCAAGCGUUAUCCGGAUUUAUUGGGUUUAAAGGGUGCGUAGGCGGAAGGAUAAGUCAGCGGUGAAACGUACGGGCUCAACCCGUGAACUGCCGUUGAAACUGUUCAUCUGGAAUGCGGAUGCUGUGGGAGGAAUGUGUAGUGUAGCGGUGAAAUGCAUAGAUAUUACACAGAACACCGAUUGCGAAGGCAUCUCACAAAACCGCGAUUGACGCUGAGGCACGAAAGUGUGGGGAUCGAACAGGAUUAGAUACCCUGGUAGUCCACACAGUAAACGAUGAUAACUAGCUGUAGGCGAUAGACAGUCUGUAGCGGAGCGAAAGCGCUAAGUUAUCCACCUGGGGAGUACGACCGCAAGGUUGAA